CCCGGCGACCGGCGCACGGGUGAGUAACACGUAUGCAACCUGGCCGCCACAGGGGGAUAACCCGCGGAAACGCGGCCUAAUACCCCGUGACGCCACCGGAGGGCAUCCUCCGGUGGCCAAAGGAGCGAUCCGGUGGCGGAUGGGCAUGCGGCGCAUUAGCUAGACGGCGGGGUGACGGCCCACCGUGGCGACGAUGCGUGGGGGUUCUGAGAGGAAGGCCCCCCACACUGGGACUGAGACACGGCCCAGACUCCUACGGAAGGCAGCAG
Molecule: ribosomal RNA, 269 nt
Filed under: uncultured bacterium
Lineage: Bacteria
Description: partial 16S ribosomal RNA
Rfam family: Bacterial small subunit ribosomal RNA
Source: RNAcentral